AGCCAGGAAGAUGUCUGUCUCCCAGGCAGCUAGGAGAAGAGUCUUAAAGCUCACCUAUAAGGUGACACAUUUCCUCCAACAAGGCCACAUGUAUUCCAACAAGGCCACAUUGCCUAAUAGUGCCACUUCCUGGGCCAAGCAUAUUCAAGCCACCAGACUUGGGAAGCCAAUGCACCAGGGUCAUGAGUUCAAUGCCAGCUAUAGCUACAGAGCAAGACUCCCCGACCCUCCUGCAAAAUCCAAAAGGAGGGUUUUACAGAAGCUGAGCCAAGCCCUCUGUACCCCAAUCCUGCCCUGAGAGAUCGGGUCUCCCAGGAGAGACAGGAGUGAAGCAUUCGCAUUUUUGUCAUUCUUCUUGAGGAGGAAGAGGAAGGAAAGGAAGGAGAUGAAGGAGAAGAGGGAGAAGCUGUUGAUUAUAUUGACUUCAUAUUUGUAACUUUUCAUUUGUGAUGAUGAACUGAUUGUUUUGUAUUGAUUUGUACCUGAGAUAUGUUUUUCCAACUAGAAGAGCUCUCAACAACAUUAAACCAAUACAGCCCAGCCCAGUGCACUCUA
This 555-nucleotide long non-coding RNA is filed under the name Rattus norvegicus (Norway rat). Its description in RNAcentral is "long non-coding RNA NONRATT006521". Lineage: Eukaryota; Metazoa; Chordata; Mammalia; Rodentia; Muridae. The record is from RNAcentral.